Molecule: ribosomal RNA, 428 nt
Filed under: Bacteroidota bacterium
Lineage: Bacteria; Pseudomonadati; Bacteroidota
Description: Bacteroidetes bacterium partial 16S ribosomal RNA
Rfam family: Bacterial small subunit ribosomal RNA
Source: RNAcentral
UAGGGAAUCUUCCGCAAUGGACGCAAGUCUGACGGAGCAACGCCGCGUGAGUGAAGAAGGAUUUCGGUUCGUAAAACUCUGUUGUUAGAGAAGAACAGCGCAUAGAGUAACUGUUAUGCGUGUGACGGUAUCUACCAGAAAGCCACGGCUAACUACGUGCCAGCAGCCGCGGUAAUACGUAGGUGGCAAGCGUUGUUCGGAUUUAUUGGGCGUAAAGCGAGCGCAGGCGGUCAAUUAAGUCUGAUGUGAAAGCCCCCGGCUCAACCGGGGAGGGUCAUUGGAAACUGGUGGACUUGAGUGCAGAAGAGGAGAGUGGAAUUCCAUGUGUAGCGGUGAAAUGCGUAGAUAUAUGGAGGAACACCAGUGGCGAAGGCGACUCUCUGGUCUGUAACUGACGCUGAGGCUCGAAAGCGUGGGUAGCAAACAGG